Non-coding RNA from Nicotiana tabacum (common tobacco), 402 nucleotides. The record is from RefSeq and is a predicted model, not a curated record. Lineage: Eukaryota; Viridiplantae; Streptophyta; Magnoliopsida; Solanales; Solanaceae.
ACCGUAUAUCUCCGCUGACCAGCUUCUCUCUCUUCUUCCAUACGCUUUACCAUCUUCUCCACAAACACACGUUUCUCUGUCAUUAUCAAAACAAAGUUCAAAAUCACCCUAAAUCUCUAUUUCUCCGCCAUUAUCAAAACAAAGUUCAAAAUCAUCAGGGAUUCACUCUUCUAUUUCCGAUUUUUACACUCAUGGAAUCUUUGAGUUUUCUCUCCAAUGACGGAUUCAACGCCACUCAACAGAGUACCCAGAGGUUUAUCAGCAUCCGCAGUUGAUGAGAGAAGAACUAAAUUACACAAUGGCAAGUUGAAAGAAGUCGAAGUUGAUAAAUCUUCAAAAGAAACCAAAAAUCCAGUUGGCUCAAAGAGGAAAAAACCUAUGAAAGAUUCACAAAUCCAAAAG